This 517-nucleotide ribosomal RNA is filed under the name uncultured Glomus. Its description in RNAcentral is "SSU rRNA". It matches the Rfam family "Eukaryotic small subunit ribosomal RNA", at positions 569 to 1089 of the family's 1831-position model. The record is from RNAcentral. Lineage: Eukaryota; Fungi; Glomeromycota; Glomeromycetes; Glomerales; Glomeraceae.
AGCAGCCGCGGUAAUUCCAGCUCCAAUAGCGUAUAUUAAAGUUGUUGCAGUUAAAAAGCUCGUAGUUGAAUUUCGAGAUCAAUUUGUUGGUCGUGCCUCGGUACGUACUGGCAAUUUUGAUUUCUCCCUUCUGAAGAACCAUGAUGUCAUUAAUUUGGUGUCAUGGGGAAUCAGGACCGUUACUUUGAAAAAAUUAGAGUGUUUAAAGCAGGCUCGCGCUUGAAUACAUUAGCAUGGAAUAGUGAAACAGGACGUUUGAUUCUAUUUUGUUGGUUUCUAGGAUCGACGUAAUGAUUAAUAGGGAUAGUUGGGGGCAUUAGUAUUCAAUUGUCAGAGGUGAAAUUCUUGGAUUUAUUGGAGACUAACUACUGCGAAAGCAUUUGCCAAGGAUGUUUUCAUUAAUCAAGAACGAAAGUUAGGGGAUCGAAGACGAUCAGAUACCGUCGUAGUCUUAACCAUAAACUAUGCCGACUAGGGAUCGGAUGAUGUUAAUUUUUAAUGACUCAUUCGGCUACCG